UCCUUUCUGUAGGUGUGUUAUUUAUAUAAAACAAAUUGAAUAUUGUAUCACAGAAUGGACU
RNAcentral lists this microRNA precursor (61 nucleotides) under Monodelphis domestica (gray short-tailed opossum). RNAcentral's name for it is "mir-7360 microRNA precursor family". It matches the Rfam family "mir-7360 microRNA precursor family". The record is from Rfam by way of RNAcentral. Lineage: Eukaryota; Metazoa; Chordata; Mammalia; Didelphimorphia; Didelphidae.